CAGAACUAAUCGACUUUUAUUCGGAUGAACGACCAAGAUUUAAAUUGGUUCUUAAAGAACCUAUUCUUACAUAGUAUUAUGUAAUUCUAUUGAUUAUUAUUUAAUUUUACUAUAAGAAUGAAGUUGUUUAAACUUCACUAUCAUUCAAAAUUAAAAAAGGAAUAUGCAAAAGCAUAUUCCUCUUCCACCACGACAAUCGGCUCCUCCUCCGGGCAGUCCUCGCACAUCUCCACCAAGCAUCCUUGUUCCAUCCAUCCGAAAUAAUUUUCCCUUGCAACGGUGGCCCAGAGAAAAUGCUUCGUAAUAAUUGAAGCAUAAUCCCUUGGUUGUCUAAAUGCGUCGCUCCUCGACCGUCAAAAUUUUCCGCAUGAUUUGUAGUGCCCGUGUUGUGUCCGGUGGGGUUUUAAUCAAUGGACCAGUAUUAGCCGCUUCUGUGCUCGGCCGAUACGGUGUCCGCCACGCGAAGUGUCACCGACCCAGGUGCGCUUCAUACACCUUUGCUGCCGAAAAUGUUUAUCGCAAUGUGGUUGGCUUCAAUAUCUUCAGCUCACUUUUUAACUCUAGUUUCAAUCCUCCAACGAAGUAAGUGAUCAAUGUUUGCUCGAACUGCUCAUCCACAUGUUCAUCAAAUCUUCAAAUUUAUUCAGGUACUCCUCCAGCGACGACGACUGCUGUAGGUGUGACAAUUCUUCGAGUUUAUUCUCAUACUCGGCUUUCCCAAACUGCUCUCUCAUAUCCUCCAUGAAUCGUUUCCCGGUUGAAAUUAAUUUAUUAUGACGGAGUCCUCUGAUUCAGGUGAGCGCCUUCCCGGUCAUGUGGAACCCGGCGAUUUGCACUUUCCCCUCCUCGCCUAUACCGUAGUAGGCGAAAUACUCCCCGGCUUGAUACAGCCAUCCUUCCGGAUGAUCGCCGGAGAAUCGUGGGAAAUCCAACUUUAUCGCUCUCAGUUUGACGUGCGAUGAUUCACCUCUAAACGGAUCGAAGAAAGUCCCACUUCAAUCACCUUCCUUCGUCAUCUUUAAUACACUUUCAGCAACCGCUGUAAUUGCCGCGUUUUGUUAUUGUGUCACCUCCGUUUGACGAGUUGUUUGUUCCGCUAUGAUUACUCCCAAAGCUAGGCGAAUAUCCUCCAAGGUCUCCUCCUUAUUUUCUGUUUCACUGUUCAUGAUCACCAAAUUACAGAAAACAAUAUUUCAAAGAAGGAAAUAACAAAUUCAAUUAAGAAUUGAACACGUUCCUGAUCAGGAUCUACUUUAGGCGUAGAACAAGCCCUGGAAUGAUUUUGAAUGUUUUGAGUCGUUACCGACUGUUGAUCCCUAAGCGUCCGUGCGAGAACUCAAAGAAAGCACCAAUGUAACACUCUUCGGUGAGAGCCGAAGAUGAAAUCCCAAGGAUGGGCCGGAGGUUGGAAGUUUUGGAGGAGCCGGAGGCAAGAUAGAUUGUUGUUUU
RNAcentral lists this long non-coding RNA (1449 nucleotides) under Zostera marina. RNAcentral describes it as "long non-coding RNA (ZMAR_LNC000637)". The record is from RNAcentral. Lineage: Eukaryota; Viridiplantae; Streptophyta; Magnoliopsida; Alismatales; Zosteraceae.